Molecule: ribosomal RNA, 254 nt
Filed under: uncultured bacterium
Lineage: Bacteria
Description: partial 16S ribosomal RNA
Rfam family: Bacterial small subunit ribosomal RNA
Source: RNAcentral
GACGUAGGCACCAAGCGUUGUCCGGAUUUAUUGGGCGUAAAGAGCUCGUAGGCGGUUCAGUAAGUCAGGUGUGAAAUCUUUGGGCUUAACCCAAAGCGUGCACUUGAUACUGCUGUGACUUGAGUUCGGUAGGGGAGUGGGGAAUUCCUAGUGUAGCGGUGAAAUGCGCAGAUAUUAGGAGGAACACCGGUGGCGAAGGCGCCACUCUGGGCCGAAACUGACGCUGAGGAGCGAAAGCGUGGGUAGCAAACAGG